UCACUAGGUGUGUUUUUACCACUAGCUGUUGU
This 32-nucleotide non-coding RNA is filed under the name Plasmodium falciparum 3D7. Lineage: Eukaryota; Apicomplexa; Aconoidasida; Haemosporida; Plasmodiidae. The record is from RNAcentral.